Molecule: ribosomal RNA, 279 nt
Filed under: uncultured bacterium
Lineage: Bacteria
Description: partial 16S ribosomal RNA
Rfam family: Bacterial small subunit ribosomal RNA
Source: RNAcentral
UGCCAGCAGCCGCGGUAAUACGGAGGGUCCAAGCGUUAUCCGGAUUUAUUGGGUUUAAAGGGUUCGUAGGCGGGUUAUUAAGUCAGUGGUGAAAGCCUUCAGCUUAACUGGAGAAUUGCCAUUGAUACUGAUAGUCUUGAGUAUACUUGAAGUUGGCGGAAUAUGUCAUGUAGCGGUGAAAUGCAUAGAUAUGACAUAGAACACCGAUUGCGAAAGCAGCUGACUAAAGUAAAACUGACGCUGAGGAACGAAAGCGUGGGGAGCGAACAGGAUUAGAUA